Long non-coding RNA from Pogona vitticeps (central bearded dragon), 1602 nucleotides. NCBI's taxonomy places the organism in Eukaryota, Metazoa, Chordata, Lepidosauria, Squamata, Agamidae. The record is from Ensembl.
CCCUCCCCAUCCUCUUGGGGGGGACACACACGCUCUUUUCUUCCCUCCCCCCGGGCGGAGGAUGCAGGAUCUCUGCCUAAGGACGGGGGCUCAUGUUGAUGCCUACAUAGCCUUCCCCUUCCGUUGAUGUCAGAUGCUCCAGCAGUCGGUGAACGUGGAGGUAUUUGUCUGAUGGGCUUGUUUUCGUCUUCAGGGCAGGAGGAAGAUGUCUUCCGUCGCUCCCAUUGCCCGGGGUGUUUGUUUGUUUGUUUGUUUUAAAGACGAUGUCGGGGAGGAGGGAGAGGAGAGGAGAGGACGGUCUCCUUGGAGUCAGCAGAGGCGAGUUGCCCAGAGGUGUGGUGGGAAGUGGAUGGGGUCGGAGGGAGGUCGAGCGGAGGUGGAAAGCAUAUGUGUGUGUGUGUGUGUGUGUGAGAGCGAGAGCGAGCUAGGGGGCUUUUGCUUUGUGUUCUUUUGCCCGGAGGGACCUCCCCUGACUCCCCUACCCAUCCACCCACCCACCCCUGUGAGCAUGUUGUUGUCUACAGUCUGCCUGCCUGUCUGUCAGCCAGGAAGAUGUAGAGGCGAAGCGGCGGUGACUGGAAUGAAGCUUUGUGUCGGGGAGGCGAAAGGGGUUUGCAGCAAAACUGCCCGCCUUUCCUCUUCUCCUCACCAUCUAAGGAAUUUUCUUAGAGACUGGAGCAUUACUAAGAUGCAACCUGGUGAAUUGGAAGCAUCCAAGGAUUCCCAGCUUUGAAUGACAGGUGCCAUAAAAGACUACCAUAGCUAAACUGUGAAGCCUGACUCAACCUAAAUUGCAAAACUGAAGGAAAGAAAGUCCGUGCAUAACAGAUGUAUGUGUGUGUCUCUCUCACUGUGUGUGUAUAUAUAAUACACACAGAGAAAGAUUAUCAUAGCCAGACAGACCAGCACUUCUCUGAUUUAGGGAUUGUGUGCAAUUGAUGGAAAUUUACUCAAGCAUCAGAUGGAACAACCUGUCAGCAUAAGGACCAAAAGCUCUUGGAAUAUCAUCUGGUACUAAUGGUCAGUUUUCCAUACAGUUUGCAGUGUGAGAAAAGAAUUUUAAGAAUCAGCAGAACACCCUCUGCACAGCAAAUGACACAAAUACCUCUAUGAAAUGAGGGCAUCUCUGAGUGGAGAGGAGAUCAAUAUUGUCAUCAUCAUAAGAGGAAUAAUGUUCAAGCCUUCCAUACUUUUCAGUUCAAUUUGAACGUGCUUGCUAAGUAAGUAGUGACAAGUAAUUGGGUAGUGAUGACUGGAAGAAAGCAAAUUCUGGAGCAGUGGGACUGAUCCAGGGUUUGAAUUUGAGAAGCUCUUUUAUCCCAGACUGAGCGUUGCAACUUUGUAAUCUGUUACUUUUUCCUCUCUGCCCUGCUUUUGUUUUUGUCCUAUUUCUUGACAAUGUGGUACAAGUACUGAUAAAUAUUUGCUCAUAAAAAUUCCUUGAGACAUUUGGAACAUUUUUUUUAAAAAGAUGUUUUAACAUCUGCAAAUGUGUUGAUUAGAAUUAUGUCUCUGUGCUGUAGAAAAGCACCAAAAAGGACAGGGCAUAUUGGACAAGCAAAGGGACAACCCAGGAAACAAUAAAAGGAAGUGGAAGUUGCA